Ostrinia nubilalis (European corn borer) is the source of this 2114-nucleotide long non-coding RNA. RefSeq lists it as uncharacterized. The transcript is spliced from 3 exons. The record is from RefSeq and is a predicted model, not a curated record. NCBI's taxonomy places the organism in Eukaryota, Metazoa, Arthropoda, Insecta, Lepidoptera, Crambidae.
ACACAAUACAAAAAAAAAAAAACAACAAAAACACAAAAUAUGUAGGCUAUCAAAAAACAAGUGGUGAGAAAAAACUGUGCCAAUAGGCACCCGCUCAGCAUUUAUCGUGACAUGCUCAAAAGGGCAAGUCACGAAGCUGGUCUUCCGCGGACGCCCUUGCUUAUUGCGCAACCCUUGGAGAAGACACCGUCUAAAAUAAUGUAACCGUAAAUUAUAAUUAGUGAAAGUUCGAUGUCUCUCCAAGGGGCACGCAACGCAGGGUUGUGUGUAUAAUUCGGUUACAGUACGCAUCAAGAAUAAAAAAAAAAUACAAAUAACUUAUCAAAACAACACAAGAGAAGAAUAAAAAUAAAAAAACAUAACAAGAAACAACAACAACAAAACCUCGAAAAUCGAAUUAUCGAUUAAUCGCACAGAUGAUAUCGUAAGUAUCGUAAUAAAUUAAAAUUAAUCGGCUUGACAACUCCAGUGUGUACUAAUUAUUUAUUUAAGGUAAUUGGCUGAUUAUUCCAAAGAAAGACAUUCCAAGUAAAUAAUGCAAAAUACUGUUCAUCGAUAAAGAUCGCAUUACAGCAACUUUUUAAUGCCACGGUUAAAUACACGAUUAAAUACACGACAGCGGUGGCAAAAUGAAAGUUCCCAAAGCGGUGUAAAAAAAAAAAAAAAAAACGUUAAAAUAAAGAGAAAAAAACUGUCACGGAGAGAAAAAAGGUUACCCAGCAAAUUAAAUAUUCAGAACAGCCAUUAAUUUUACAAAUUUUCGCGAGAGACGCCAUUUAUGCCAUGUGUUUGCCACGUAAUAAAGCGAGAAAAGCUCUUUAUUAUUGAAAUUGCGGCAGGCGACAGCAGGAAGAGAGAGAAAAUGUCUCGCGUGGAUCCACCCCGCUCGCUCGUACCUAGCCCGGCAAACACGCCGCACCGCACUUCCCGGAUUGUUUUAGGGUGCGCCAAAAAGCCGGGGAAACCGCCAGUCGAAGCUCAACCGGACGCUAGAAAUUAUUUAUGCUGGGACACGCCUGCCAACGCACGCGCACGUCGUGUACAUCCCCCUGGCACGCAAUGGCGGGGGCAGGUCGUUCCAGCACCGCGACGCAGCGAAUCUGAAGGAGCCUCGAAAUGCCACAGUGCGAUGUCUUGGAGUAGCAAAGAUGUGGGUGCACUGCCUCCUUGGAUAUCCGCUGUGGACCCAAUCCAGCUUUAGGAAUAGGUAUUUAGGUUUCUUUGUAUUAAUGACUCCAAACAUCAAGGUGGCUAAAUGAAGUCUUCUACGUGCCUCCAUCUUCAUCAUAUUUGCGGCGUUAAGAUAAGGGGUGAUAUGAGAGCGAGGCGGAACCGAAAAACAGAACCGCACACAUGCAUUCUGUACUCUCUGGAUAAGUCUGGAUGUUCUUGACAGAAGGCACGGACCGUAAACAGAGUCGCAGUAAUUAAAUCUGCUGAGGACCAAGGACUCACAGAGUAGAAUUCUGAGUUUCUCGCUCAGGUAGGGUCGCAACUUGUACAGGAGUUUGAGCCGAUAGAGACUAUUUCUUACACACUCCGCUACAUAAUUUUCAAAUUUCAGAUUACAAUCCAUAACAAGUCCCAGAUUUCUGGCUGCGUCAACCCUUGCGAUAGGUUCUCCGUCUAUAUUAAUGUUUAGAGUUACAUCUUUGAGUUUAGCAAUGUUUUUGGGUGUCCCUAUAACCAAGAACUGGGACUUUUUUGGGUUAAUCUUUAAACAAUUUGAGCUGCUCCAGUCAGAGAUGCUGUUCAGGUCUUUGUUCACCUUAGCCACAGCAACGGCAAAUUCAGCCGGUGCAAAAGAGAGGUACACCUGCAAGUCAUCGGCAUACAGAUGGUGAUGACAAUUUGCGAUAGUGUUAGUGAUGUCGGCACUGUAUAGGAUGUACAGGAUUGGUCCCAGAAUGGACCCUUGAGGAACCCCGCGAGUAACCAUUUGAGGUUGAGAUCUCAUCGAAGUGCCGUCCACCCUUCUCAACUCCACACACUGCAGUCGCUGGGUCAAAUAACUGUGGAACCACUUAACUGAACCAUUGUCGAGGCCAUAAUAGGUUAGUUUGGAUAGCAGCAGAGAAAUAUUAAUUGAGUCGAAAGCCCGAGAAAAGUCCAGU